GAGUUUGAUCAUGGCUCAGGAUGAACGCUAGCGGCAGGCCUAACACAUGCAAGUCGAGGGGUAACAGGAAGUGCUUGCACUUCGCUGACGACCGGCGCACGGGUGAGUACCGCGUAUACAAUCUGCCUCAUACUAGGGGAUAGCCCGAAGAAAUUUGGAUUAAUACCCUAUAGUAUCUUUUUAAGGCAUCUUAUUAAGAUUAAAGGUUACGGUAUGAGAUGAGUAUGCGUUCUAUUAGCUAGUAGGUGUGGUAACGGCACACCCAGGCUACGAUAGAUAGGGGCCCUGAGAGGGGGAUCCCCCACACUGGUACUGAGACACGGACCAGACUCCUACGGGAGGCAGCAGUGAGGAAUAUUGGACAAUGGGCGAAAGCCUGAUCCAGCCAUGCCGCGUGCAGGAUGACUGCCCUAUGGGUUGUAAACUGCUUUUAUAUAGGAAGAAAAACUUUCUCGUGAGAAAGCUUGACGGUACUAUAAGAAUAAGGAUCGGCUAACUCCGUGCCAGCAGCCGCGGUAAUACGGAGGAUCCAAGCGUUAUCCGGAAUCAUUGGGUUUAAAGGGUCCGUAGGUGGACAAAUAAGUCAGAGGUGAAAUCCUGCAGCUCAACUGUAGAACUGCCUUUGAUACUGUUUGUCUUGAGUUAUUAUGAAGUGGUUAGAAUGUGUAGUGUAGCGGUGAAAUGCAUAGAUAUUACACAGAAUACCGAUUGCGAAGGCAGAUCACUAAUAAUUAACUGACACUGAGGGACGAAAGCGUGGGUAGCGAACAGGAUUAGAUACCCUGGUAGUCCACGCCGUAAACGAUGGUCACUAGCUGUUUGGACUUCGGUCUGAGUGGCUAAGCGAAAGUGAUAAGUGACCCACCUGGGGAGUACGUUCGCAAGAAUGAAACUCAAAGGAAUUGACGGGGGCCCGCACAAGCGAUGGAGCAUGUGGUUUAAUUCGAUGAUACGCGAGGAACCUUACCAGGGCUUAAAUGUUAGGUGACAGAUCUAGAAAUAGAUUUUUCUUCGGACACUUAACAAGGUGCUGCAUGGUUGUCGUCAGCUCGUGCCGUGAGGCGUCAGGUUAAGUCCUAUAACGAGCGCAACCCCUGUUGUUAGUUGCCAGCGAGUAAUGUCGGGAACUCUAGCAAGACUGCCAGUGCAAACUGUGAGGAGGGUGGGGAUGACGUCAAAUCAUCACGGCCCUUACGUCCUGGGCUACACACGUGCUACAAUGGUAGGUACAGAGAGCAGCCAAUGCGCGAGCAUGAGCAAAUCUAUAAAACCUAUCUCAGUUCGGAUCGGAGUCUGCAACUCGACUCCGUGAAGCUGGAAUCGCUAGUAAUCGGAUAUCAGCCAUGAUCCGGUGAAUACGUUCCCGGGCCUAGUACACACCGCCCGUCAAGCCAUGGAAGUUGGGAGUGCCUGAAGUCCGUUUCCGCAAGGAUCGGCCUAGGGUAAAAUCGAUAACUAGGGCUAAGUCGUAACAAGGUAACC
This 1482-nucleotide ribosomal RNA is filed under the name uncultured marine bacterium. Its description in RNAcentral is "bacterial SSU rRNA". It matches the Rfam family "Bacterial small subunit ribosomal RNA". The record is from RNAcentral.